RNAcentral lists this ribosomal RNA (523 nucleotides) under uncultured archaeon. RNAcentral describes it as "bacterial SSU rRNA". It matches the Rfam family "Archaeal small subunit ribosomal RNA", at positions 325 to 849 of the family's 1478-position model. The record is from RNAcentral.
ACGGGGUGCAGCAGGCGCGAAAACUGACCAAUGCGCGAAAGCGUGAGUCGGUCAAUCCGAGUGUAGACCCAUCGGUUUACUUUUAUCAUGUGUACAAAGCUUGGUGAAUAAUGUGAGGGCAAGACUGGUGCCAGCCGCCGCGGUAAAACCAGCUCAUAGAGUGGUGAUCGUGAUUAUUUGGCUUAAAGUGUGCGUAGCAGGGAAUUCUAAGUCCUCUGUGAAAUGUCAGGUCUUAAGCUUGACACGUGCAGAGGAUACUGGAAUCCUUGGGACCGGGAUAGGUGUAAUGUACGGUUUGGGUAGGGGUGAAAUCCGAUAAUCCAAGCCGGACAACCGGUGGCGAAGGCGUUACACUGGAACGGGUCCGACUGUGAGGCACGAAAGCUAGGGUCGCGAGCCGGAUUAGAUACCCGGGUAGUCCUAUGCUGUAAACGAUGCUCAUUAAGUGUUAGGUAAUGCAAGACAUUCUCUAGUGCCGAAGCGAAAGCGUUAAAUGAGCCGCCUGGAAGUACGUUCGCAAGAA